Molecule: ribosomal RNA, 514 nt
Filed under: uncultured bacterium
Lineage: Bacteria
Description: bacterial SSU rRNA
Rfam family: Bacterial small subunit ribosomal RNA
Source: RNAcentral
AAUAGAUACCCCGGUAGUCCACGCCGUAAACGAUGGAGGCUAGCCGUUGGCGAGCAUGCUCGUCAGUGGCGCAGCUAACGCAUUAAGCCUCCCGCCUGGGGAGUACGGUCGCAAGAUUAAAACUCAAAGGAAUUGACGGGGGCCCGCACAAGCGGUGGAGCAUGUGGUUCAAUUCGAAGCAACGCGCAGAACCUUACCAGCCCUUGACAUGCCGGUCGCGGGCACCAGAGAUGGAGCCUUUCAGUUCGGCUGGACCGGACACAGGUGCUGCAUGGCUGUCGUCAGCUCGUAUCGUGAGAUGUUGGGUUAAGUCCCGCAACGAGCGCAACCCUCGCCCUUAGUUGCCAGUCAUUUAGUUGGGCACUCUAAGGGGACUGCCGGUGAUAAGCCGCGAGGAAGUGGGAUGACGUCAAGUCCUCAUGGCCCUUACGGGCUGGGCUACGACACGUGCUACAAUGGCGGUGACAGUGGGAUGCAAUGGAGUAAUCCUGCGCAAAUCUCAAAAAGCCGUCUC